GAUGAACGCUGGCGGCGUGCCUAAUACAUGCAAGUCGAGCGAACGGACGAGAAGCUUGCUUCUCUGAUGUUAGCGGCGGACGGGUGAGUAACACGUGGAAAACCUACCUAUAAGACUGGGAUAACUUCGGGAAACCGGAGCUAAUACCGGAUAAUAUUUUGAACCGCAUGGUUCAAAAGUGAAAGACGGUCUUGCGGUCACUAAUAGAUGGAUCCGCGCUGCAUUAGCUAGUUGGUAAGGUAACGGCUUACCAAGGCAACGAUGCAUAGCCGACCUGAGAGGGUGAUCGGCCACACUGGAACUGAGACACGGUCCAGACUCCUACGGGAGGCAGCAGUAGGGAAUCUUCCGCAAUGGGCGAAAGCCUGACGGAGCAACGCCGCGUGAGUGAUGAAGGUCUUCGGAUCGUAAAACUCUGUUAUUAGGGAAGAACAUAUGUGUAAGUAACUGUGCACAUCUUGACGGUACCUAAUCAGAAAGCCACGGCUAACUACGUG
RNAcentral lists this ribosomal RNA (497 nucleotides) under uncultured bacterium. Its description in RNAcentral is "partial 16S ribosomal RNA". It matches the Rfam family "Bacterial small subunit ribosomal RNA", at positions 28 to 507 of the family's 1533-position model. The record is from RNAcentral.